CAAUUUCUCGUUUGUUCAAAAUGAUCGAAUAUUCCUUUGGAAUUUCACUUAUGUUUUAAAAAUUCCUUAAAACGAAGGCAACGUUCAAAGUUUGGAAAUUUGGGGAAUCGUGCCCUAUCGUGCUGGGUUGCAAUUUCCCGUUUGUUCAAAUAAUCGAAUAUUCCUUUAGAAUAUCACUCAUGUUUUCUAAAUUCUAAAACAAGACAAUGUUCAACGUUUAGGAAUCCGAGAAAACGUGCCCUACGU
Molecule: long non-coding RNA, 246 nt
Filed under: Gossypium barbadense (sea-island cotton)
Lineage: Eukaryota; Viridiplantae; Streptophyta; Magnoliopsida; Malvales; Malvaceae
Description: long non-coding RNA (GBAR_LNC001941)
Source: RNAcentral